CCUCUAGUCAUUAGAUGUCAAGGACCUCUAGUCAUUAGAUGUCAAGGACCUCUAGUCAUUAGAUGGCAAGGACCUCUAGUCAUUAUAUGUCAAGGACCUCUAGUCAUUAGAUGUCAAGGACCUAUAGUCAUUAGAUGUCAAGGACCUCUAGUCAUUAGAUGGCAAGGACCUAUAGUCAUUAGAUGUCAAGGACCUAUAGUCAUUAGAUGUCAAGGACCUAUAGUCAUUAGAUGUCAAGGACCUAUAGUCAUUAGAUGUCAAGGACCUCUAGUCAUUAGGUGUCAAGGACCUCUAAUCAUUAGAUGUCAAGGACCUCUAGUCAUUAAAUGUCAAGGACCUCAAGUCACUAAUUGCUAAGGACGUCUAGUCAUUGAUACCAAGGACCUGAAGUCAUUAGAUACCGAGGACCUCAAGUCAUUAGAAUACAAGAACGUCAAGUCAAUUAAAGCCAAUGAUGUUGAGGAUAUUGGACAUCUACCACCUCUUGUUCUUCUGAAAGGCUUAAAAAGAUCAACGGAUAAACUGAACACCAUCUGAGUAUAAACUAUUCAUAAGUUUUAAACUUGUUUAAAAUGUUAAAUUCAAGUUGAAGACAGUAUUCAAAAAUUCAUUCAUUCUCUCAUUUAUUCAUCCUGUCCUGUGUUUUCGAAAUAAUUUUUUUUAAAGUCUGACUUUUGACAAAAUGUUUGCCAAAUAUUAAACUAAUUAAUUGUGAUCCUCGUAUAUUAGAGUUGUGUUUAAGUGUAUAAGCUAAAGUGGAGUGCUUCAUAUUCUUAAACGUUUUUAUAAUUCUAAAUGUUUUGAUCAUAUUUGAACAUGUUUACAUUCUUCAGGGAAAAAUAUUUAUCUAAAAAAUUUUUACUUUAUCUGUGUGAAAAAUCAUUUUUAAGAAAGCAAAGUUAUGGUUCAGAAUUUUUUUUAACUCAAAUCAAAUCUGAACUAGAUGUAGUUUUCAAUAUGGAAGACCUGAUACGUAAAUUUACGGUCGGUUUGACAUAUUCAAAAUUCAAUCCACAACCAAUUAUGAUACUGAAAGAGACUGUAAGCGUAAUGUUAGGUGACUCUUCAGGCAACCAUGGCAAUGCCCGAUUCACAACGGGUUUUGGCAUCUUUCCACCUACAAUCCCUUUAAAAAAGCUUUUUAAGAAAUAACAAUAUUUCUACAAAACUAAAUAUUAUUGCUGACGUCUUUAUCCUAAAAAUAUCAAUAUUAUCUUAGAUCUAAUAUGAAAAUAAAAUGUUUACAUGCAUAUUUUAUACGAAAUAUAUUGUUGGCUUGUA
Long non-coding RNA from Eurytemora carolleeae, 1281 nucleotides. RefSeq lists it as uncharacterized. The transcript is spliced from 2 exons. The record is from RefSeq and is a predicted model, not a curated record. Lineage: Eukaryota; Metazoa; Arthropoda; Copepoda; Calanoida; Temoridae.